GACGUAGGGGGCCAGCGUUGUUCGGAAUUACUGGGUGUAAAGGGUUCGUAGGCGGUGUGGCAAGUUGGGAGUGAGAUCUCUGGGCUCAACCCAGAGGCUGCUUCCGAAACUGCCGUGCUAGAGUGCGAGAGAGGUGAGUGGAAUUGCAGGUGUAGCGGUGAAAUGCGUAGAUAUCUGCAGGAACACCAGAGGCGAAGGCGGCUCACUGGAUCGCAACUGACGCUGAGAGACGAAAGCUAGGGGAGCAAACAGG
RNAcentral lists this ribosomal RNA (253 nucleotides) under uncultured bacterium. RNAcentral's name for it is "partial 16S ribosomal RNA". It matches the Rfam family "Bacterial small subunit ribosomal RNA", at positions 524 to 776 of the family's 1533-position model. The record is from RNAcentral.